This 521-nucleotide ribosomal RNA is filed under the name uncultured bacterium. RNAcentral describes it as "bacterial SSU rRNA". It matches the Rfam family "Bacterial small subunit ribosomal RNA", at positions 8 to 526 of the family's 1533-position model. The record is from RNAcentral.
AGGGUUUGAUCAUGGCUCAGAACGAACGCUGGCGGCACGCCUAACACAUGCAAGUCGAACGGUAACAUUUCUAGCUUGCUAGAAGAUGACGAGUGGCGGACGGGUGAGUAAUGCUUGGGAACUUGCCUUUGCGAGGGGGAUAACAGUUGGAAACGACUGCUAAUACCGCAUAAUGUCUUCGGACCAAACGGGGCUUCGGCUCCGGCGCAAAGAGAGGCCCAAGUGAGAUUAGCUAGUUGGUAAGGUAACGGCUUACCAAGGCGACGAUCUCUAGCUGUUCUGAGAGGAAGAUCAGCCACACUGGGACUGAGACACGGCCCAGACUCCUACGGGAGGCAGCAGUGGGGAAUAUUGCACAAUGGGGGAAACCCUGAUGCAGCCAUGCCGCGUGUGUGAAGAAGGCCUUCGGGUUGUAAAGCACUUUCAGUUGUGAGGAAAAGUUAGUAGUUAAUACCUGCUAGCCGUGACGUUAACAACAGAAGAAGCACCGGCUAACUCCGUGCCAGCCGCCGCGGUAAUAC